This 402-nucleotide ribosomal RNA is filed under the name uncultured bacterium. RNAcentral describes it as "bacterial SSU rRNA". It matches the Rfam family "Bacterial small subunit ribosomal RNA", at positions 917 to 1322 of the family's 1533-position model. The record is from RNAcentral.
GGGCCCGCACAAGCGGUGGAGCAUGUGGUUUAAUUCGAUGAUACGCGAGGAACCUUACCAGGGCUUAAAUGUAGUGGGACAGGUCUAGAGAUAGCUAUUUCUUCGGACCACUUACAAGGUGCUGCAUGGUUGUCGUCAGCUCGUGCCGUGAGGUGUCAGGUUAAGUCCUAUAACGAGCGCAACCCCUGUUGUUAGUUGCCAGCGAGUCAUGUCGGGAACUCUAACAAGACUGCCGGUGCAAACCGUGAGGAAGGUGGGGAUGACGUCAAAUCAUCACGGCCCUUACGUCCUGGGCUACACACGUGCUACAAUGGUCGGUACAGAGAGCAGCCACUACGCGAGUAGGAGCGAAUCUUCAAAGCCGAUCACAGUUCGGAUCGGAGUCUGCAACUCGACUCCGUG